GAUGAACGCUAGCGGCAGGCUUAAUACAUGCAAGUCGAACGGGAUUGAGAAGCUUGCUUUUCAUGAGAGUGGCGCACGGGUGCGUAACACGUAUGCAACCUGCCUUGUCCAGGGGGAUAGCCCGUUGAAAGACGGAUUAAGACCGCAUAACAUCAUUGAAUGGCAUCGUUUAAUGAUCAAAUAUUUAUAGGGACAAGAUGGGCAUGCGUCUGAUUAGCUAGUGGGCGGGGUAAUGGCCAACCAAGGCGACGAUCAGUAGGGGAUCUGAGAGGAUGACCCCCCACACUGGUACUGAGACACGGACCAGACUCCUACGGGAGGCAGCAGUAAGGAAUAUUGGUCAAUGGGCGCAAGCCUGAACCAGCCAUGCCGCGUGCAGGAAGACGGCCCUACGGGUUGUAAACUGCUUUUAUACGGGAAUAACCCCGGUUUCGUGAAACCGGCUGAAUGUACCGUAAGAAUAAGGAUCGGCUAACUCCGUGCCAGCCGCCGCCGUAA
RNAcentral lists this ribosomal RNA (498 nucleotides) under uncultured bacterium. RNAcentral's name for it is "partial 16S ribosomal RNA". It matches the Rfam family "Bacterial small subunit ribosomal RNA", at positions 28 to 523 of the family's 1533-position model. The record is from RNAcentral.